GGUACCACGUUUUCGCAUGUUUCACAGACCGUGGUAUGUGUGAUCCAUACUCCACCAUCGCGGUACCCUCCCCCUCCUUAAGCAUCCUAAAGAAAAACACCGCAUCCUGCACUUGUGAUAUUCAGAGCCCUCGGAACCAGAGGAAUCUGCAGCCACGCAUACCGGGUGACCUGAAGUCUGGAGAGUCAACGCAGGGCAGGGACGGGAGGAGGUCGAGCAGGCAUGGAGGCUUGUAAGGAAUGUCCUGGAGCAGAUUCCUCCUUGUAUUCCAUAGACAAGGUAAGAACUUUCAGAGAGGAUUACCUAGAUUGCUAUUUUGUAACAUGAUCUUACCAUACCUAUUCCAUGUUCCAGAAUUUAUUGAGGAUUGGGAGGGGAGGUGGAGGGAAAAGACAACUAAAUAACUCAUCUGUAUACUUUUUCUGUCUGUCUGUCUUUUCCUUUCUAAGGAAAAGUUUUAAAAUAAGGAAGUGGGAGGAGGGGUGUUUGAGACCUGCAGGCUUCUCAUGGGAACAGUAUUAAAAAAAAAAAAUACAUGUUUGCAACAUCAUUAGUAACCUAGUAUUUAAAGGAGUUUUAGGCUAACAAAUGGAAAAUGUGGCCCUCGGAAAGGAUACACAUGCCUCCUGAAAGUCUAAUUUAGUAAAACGGAAACUCAUCUGCUAUUUUUAAAACCACUGAAUGUGUAUCAGGGCUAGGCCUAGGGGUCAUCUUUUUUUAUAGCCAGUAUACCUUUCAUAUAUGUGUGAAUACUUCUGUAUUUGUAAGCAAGAUACCUAAUCGUAAACAUUGUUGCAGAUAUAAUUCAUGCUCAGAGUCUGAAGAUUUACAUUUGGGCAGAGCCCCAGCUGACUAUUUCUAUGGUUAUUAUUGUCUCUUACCAAUGAUCUUUACAAAGAAGACCCUUCACUUAAAGAACUAUUAUGGAAGGAGGGUAAGAUAUUCUAGAAGUCUCUCAAAAUUAGGAAAACACCGUCAGGAUACAUAUGAAAUGUUCCUUUCCCCUCUGAACAGGAAACGUUUUUGCUAAGCCAAUAAUGCACUAAAAAUAUCACGGGGUAAAUACUUGACUCAUUAAAUUGAACUUACCAGUCUUGGAUGAGCUCUGACCACACGCACUGCUCCGCGCCUGAGACGCUGGCCCGCAGGACGGUUCUUUCUCGUCUUCUCUCUUGGUCGGCUCUCCCGAAAUGAGCGCCUCCACUCGCAGUCUGGCCGCCCCUCUCUGCCUACCUCCGCCUCAGACCUGGACCCCGGGUUUGAUCUGUAGAUCUCCUGCCUACCUGGGGUCCUCCUUCUCUGUAUCUUCCCACGUGGUAACGGGUUUAAACUGAACGCACCUGACUCUCCAGAUCCCACUUUACCCUGUUGUUCCCACAGUGCUUUAGGGCCUUGAUGUUUUAUUCUAGCCACCUAGAACUUUCUAUCCUCCUGGUCUUUGCAUAUUGACCUCCUGCAUUGCAUUUAAACACAAGUGCAAUACUGAGAGGGCUUACUAAGCACCUGCUGCUGCGCCUCCCCUCGACACACAGGCUGCCAACGACUGUCACUACCUGUUGGGUUCAUCAGCGCGCGCUUUAAAGUUGCUAAAAUAGUCUUGUUGAUGUUGUCACUCGUUUAUUCUCUCAAUUGCCCGGCCAGAGGGUAUGCUGCAUUAAUGCACAGCUGAGGGCACAGGGCAGGGUCCCUGAAACUUUUAUGUAUGUAUGUAUUUAUUUAUUUGAGAUAGAGAGAGAAAGAGGGG
Molecule: long non-coding RNA, 1744 nt
Filed under: Canis lupus familiaris (dog)
Lineage: Eukaryota; Metazoa; Chordata; Mammalia; Carnivora; Canidae
Description: lncRNA (ENSCAFG00000042185.2)
Source: RNAcentral